Molecule: long non-coding RNA, 506 nt
Organism: Molossus molossus (Pallas's mastiff bat)
Lineage: Eukaryota; Metazoa; Chordata; Mammalia; Chiroptera; Molossidae
Exons: 4
Source: RefSeq, a predicted model, not a curated record
UGAGGAAGUGACUGUUCCUGCCGAAAGGAGCGGGGUGCAGCCUUCCCCAGCUCCGCGCACGGCAGGAGCAGAAGACAGGCAGUGAGGAGAAACAGCACCGAGGGCAGAGCAACUCCGGGAGGACAGAGCAGGAGGAUGGAGGCGACAUCCUCAGUAGGACAGUGACAUUAUUUCAGAUUGACAGCUGGCCCAGGAGGAUCCUGACCGUAUGGCUGAAGUUCAGGAUCUGGAGCUUAGGGCGAGAAGAACCCGUUGACCAGUGGAAGGUCCAACCAGGAAAACAGAAAGCACCUUGGACAUCUACGUGCAAGGGAAUUCAAGGAAGGGGCCUGGCGACAAGGUGAUGAUGUACUUGAGAGACAGUGGAAGGGCUCGGCUCCCCGUUCACCGGUGGUUCAGGAGAGCAGACGCUCCCACCUCCGCCCGCCUGGCGCUCAGUUGUGGGGCCAAAGGCAGUCAGUGAGUUGGGGAAAUGCUAUCCAAGCAAAAUAAACACCCUGAAAAGA